GCGUCUAUGGUGCAAUGGUCAGCAUACGCUCCCGGAAAGAGUGAGAUUGGAGUUCGAAUCCCGGCUGACGCA
This is a non-coding RNA of Parelaphostrongylus tenuis, 72 nucleotides long. Lineage: Eukaryota; Metazoa; Nematoda; Chromadorea; Rhabditida; Metastrongylidae. The record is from the annotation of a GenBank genome assembly.